AGAGUUUGAUCCUGGCUCAGAUUGAGCGCUGGCGGCAUGCUUUACACAUGCAAGUCGAACGGCAGCACGGGGGCAACCCUGGUGGCGAGUGGCGAACGGGUGAGUAAUGCAUCGGAACGUAUCCUUGAGUGGGGGAUAACGCAGCGAAAAGUUGUGCUAAUACCGCAUAAGCUCUGAGGAGGAAAGCGGGGGACCGAAAGGCCUCGCGCUGAAGGAGCGGCCGAUGUCCGAUUAGCUAGUUGGUGAGGUAAAGGCUUACCAAGGCGACGAUCGGUAGCUGGUCUGAGAGGAUGAUCAGCCACACUGGGACUGAGACACGGCCCAGACUCCUACGGGAGGCGAC
This 343-nucleotide ribosomal RNA is filed under the name uncultured prokaryote. RNAcentral describes it as "bacterial SSU rRNA". It matches the Rfam family "Bacterial small subunit ribosomal RNA", at positions 8 to 352 of the family's 1533-position model. The record is from RNAcentral.